CGGAGUUCAUUCUUUGACUGCGUGAACAAGAACCCAGAUUCUGGUAACAUCUUUCCGGCAUCACUUUCAUGUUCACUGUAUUUCAGAGUUUAGAUUAGUGACUGACUCCUGUAGUUGGCGCUCAGUACUUAGCAUGGUGUGUCUGAAAAAUUACAAAGAGCCCAUUGUUGCUUAGACAAGGGAAGGAGUCACCAGAGAUGAAAAUGGAAGACAGGUCAAGAUAGGUUGCCUAGGACCGCAUGAGCCUGGACGUAAUCAGUGGGGGUUAAUGAAUGGAGGUGAAUGAUCAGUAUGUGUUUUGGACAGGUUCCUCGGGCUGCAUUGUCACAUGUGCAUUGGAUGGGGUAGAGACUAGAGAUCUGGGGUUGGGAGCCAGGUUAGUGUAGAAAGGAGACAGCCUGGACAGAUACGACUUUGUCCUAGAACUGAAGGGACCACUGCUGAAGAGGAGAAAUCUCUAAUAACAUAGGUUUCCAUCUGGGCCCAGAGGUUGAAGUAUGAUACUGUCAACUAGAAUGGGCAUACGAGCAGAGGGAUGAGACCAGUCCUGGAGUUGUGUGUAUGAAAUGCUUGAAGGAAGUUUAAGAGGUGGCUCUUGGGACCUGGAAGACCUACAUUCCCUACACAUAAAGGGGGUAGAACUUGGGAACCAGCGGCAAGGUGGGUCUCACAUGAGUAAAAACUCAAAUUCCCCCAAAAAACUCAAAUGGAACCACCCCUGUGGUAUUGCCACUUCUGCUUUCUUCUAGAAGCUAGCGCUGAAGCUGACCUCAGGACUAUCUUAUUUUCCGAAAGAUCUGAACUGCAGAGGGUCAUUCUGCCCUUGAAAAGAAACCAAGAUAAAAGGAAACAGCUCUCAGGAAUUAUAAGCAAAACACAACCAGACACUCACUGCGGAUUGCCCCAUUUUCCACCUCUUUAAUGUUUACUGAAUGCCUGCUAUGUGCAAGAUACUGAUUCUUCCUCUGCUGUGACUUUUGGAUAAUCCAGACUUGAAUUGAGGGGGCAUUGCUGGCUUGAAAAUGAUCCAAGAGCAGAAGAAACACUUCUCAAAAUCAUCCACCAAACAAACAAAAAUUGAGAAACGUAGAUUUUUUGUUUGUUUUUUCUCUUCAAGAAUGAACCAGGACUCUAACUUUGGGUUUUCAGUAAGUCAUAUAUCCUGUCUACUAAAGCCUUCCAUUUUCAUUUUUUGAUUCAUCUUAUCUGUAAGACGAAUUAAUCACACACUUCUAUGACUUCUCCUUUGGCCACGUUAUCAUUCUCAGACUGUCCUGAAUUGAAUUAUUAGGAAAUACAGGCCUUGGAAAUGAAGCCAAGAUAAAAGGAAAAUACUCAUGUCCCUACUUUCCCUUAGGAAAUAAAGCAG
Molecule: long non-coding RNA, 1369 nt
Filed under: Sus scrofa (pig)
Lineage: Eukaryota; Metazoa; Chordata; Mammalia; Artiodactyla; Suidae
Description: lncRNA (ENSSSCG00000042264.1, ENSSSCG00065072979.1, ENSSSCG00110014128.1, ENSSSCG00160043408.1)
Source: RNAcentral